AACGCCCUUUUGCCCUUUCUUCUUAUCCCUUGUGCGGACGUGAGCGUAUCCAGCGCAGCAGCAACCACGACCGUCGUGUAAGAUACGCCAUCUCACUUGAAAGCCUUGCGUAAAGAUGCUAUGCGCAUCUGACCUCAACGGUGUCGUGAGCAGCGCCGUCGGCGACGGCGUUCUCAUGGUGCUGUUGCUGGAUGCCUCCGGCAAUGCCAUUGCGACCGCUUUUGCCGGCUCCGCUGCGCAGAAGGAUAUGAUGUACGCGUCAGUGGUCGCAGCCACGGCGAACAUGUGGCGCGCAUACGCUCGCAGCGACCUUGCAGUGAACAAGUUCAACCUGGAGCUGGAGACCGAAUCGCUCGAGCAGAUGAUGGUGAUCUUCCCGGACAAGAAGAUCUGCGCCAUGUCUGUGGCGGACACGGCAGUUGUGUCGCUCGUGUCGGUGGACAACUCUGUAACCGAGGGCUUUCUCAAGCUCAAGACGGCUUCGCUCCAGCGUAAGCUAGACCGGCUUCUGCGGCCUGUUAUGACCGUGUAGAAACGGAAAAAAGAGGUAGCUGCGGCAGACACCCAGCAAGCAAGCUGCCGUGUCUGCGUGCACUCCUUUUGUCUUGGCUGAGUAUCUCUGUCAUGCUGAUGAGGAGACACGUCAAGGACCUCUGAACCCUGCUUCUUCGUCUUCUCUUCUGCAUUAUACAUACCUUUCCUUGGGCGGUGGAUGCAUGGGUGCGCAUGUGCGUUCGAUGUCCGUUGUGGCAUUGUCUGCCUCGUGACGGCGUCCGUCGCCUCUUUUCUCUUUCUCGACCUUCUACCGUGUGUGUGUAUGUGCU
Molecule: unclassified non-coding RNA, 824 nt
Filed under: Leishmania donovani
Lineage: Eukaryota; Euglenozoa; Kinetoplastea; Trypanosomatida; Trypanosomatidae
Description: gene:LdHU3.35.6120(CDS-product:hypothetical_prote in_conserved)
Source: RNAcentral